GAUGAACGCUGGCGGCGUGCCUAAUACAUGCAAGUCGAGCGAACAGACGAGGAGCUUGCUCCUCUGACGUUAGCGGCGGACGGGUGAGUAACACGUGGAUAAACUACUUAUAAGACUGGGAUAACUGCGGGAAACGGGAGCUAAUACCGGAUAAUAUAUUGAACCGAAUGGAUCAAUAGUGAAAGACGGUUUUGCUGUCACUUAAAGAUGGAUCCGCGCCGCAUUAGCUAGUUGGUAAGGUAACGGCUUACCAAGGCAACGAUGCGUAGCCGACCUGAGAGGGUGAUCGGCCACACUGGAACUGAGACACGGUCCAGACUCCUACGGGAGGCCGCAGUAGGCAAUCUUCCGCAAUGGUCGAAAGCUUGACCGAGCAACGCCGCGUGCGUGAUGAAGGUCUUCGGAUCGUAAACCUCCGUUAUUAGGGAAGAACAAAUGUGUAAGUAACUAUGCACGUCGUGACGGUACCUAAUCAGAAAGCCACGGCUAACUACGUG
Molecule: ribosomal RNA, 497 nt
Filed under: uncultured bacterium
Lineage: Bacteria
Description: partial 16S ribosomal RNA
Rfam family: Bacterial small subunit ribosomal RNA
Source: RNAcentral